This 241-nucleotide ribosomal RNA is filed under the name uncultured Mycobacterium sp. Its description in RNAcentral is "partial 16S ribosomal RNA". It matches the Rfam family "Bacterial small subunit ribosomal RNA", at positions 592 to 832 of the family's 1533-position model. Lineage: Bacteria; Bacillati; Actinomycetota; Actinomycetes; Mycobacteriales; Mycobacteriaceae. The record is from RNAcentral.
CCGUGAAAACUCACAGCUUAACUGUGGGCGUGCGGGCGAUACGGGCAGACUGGAGUACUGCAGGGGAGACUGGAAUUCCUGGUGUAGCGGUGGAAUGCGCAGAUAUCAGGAGGAACACCGGUGGCGAAGGCGGGUCUCUGGGCAGUAACUGACGCUGAGGAGCGAAAGCGUGGGGAGCGAACAGGAUUAGAUACCCUGGUAGUCCACGCCGUAAACGGUGGGUACUAGGUGUGGGUUUCCU